This 4216-nucleotide long non-coding RNA is filed under the name Pan troglodytes (chimpanzee). RNAcentral's name for it is "long non-coding RNA NONPTRT009637". Lineage: Eukaryota; Metazoa; Chordata; Mammalia; Primates; Hominidae. The record is from RNAcentral.
CUGAAUGCUGCUGUCCCCAAGGAGGAGGCUGCCGUCUUAUCCCAGGAGGGAGAGCAGGUGAAGUCCCCAGGGGAGGAAGCACCUAGCCCCAUUCCUGCUGAGCAGGAGGUGGCAGGUACCCCAGACUGGGAGGUAAGGACAGCCUGGGGCUUCAACUGGAACAUCUCCAGCAUGGGUCCGACUGAGCAGCCAUGGAGCACUGCAGAGUGGGAGGCAGCAGGGCAGGGAGGCAGUGCUGGAGGCUGGCUCAACCCCAAGACCAGCAGGCCAAGCUGCCAUCCCAGGGGAGCGAGGACGUCUGUGCAGAGCUGAGAGGCAGCAGCCAUAUGUGAACAGACUGGGCCUCAUCCUGGCCCCACCGACUUUGUGUGGACAGAGCCUGUUUCCCUGUCUGUGCAACACAGAACCUGCCUGAUCUCACUGCUGGAUCCCUCUUCUUCCUGCCAGGAAAAUAAAAAGGUUCAAAAGGAAGUUGCUGCGUAUCCAUCUGAGGCCUCUGAGGACAGCAAAGAGCAAAGGCCCUGGGACCGGGUCUCCGUGCCCAUGACAGAGCUCUGGCUGGACUGGUUCUGAGCCUCUAACACCCCCAAGACUCAGAACCGUGAAGAAAAUCUUUCCAAUAAAUCCAAGAGUUGCUGCUGCUAUAGGCCAGGCUGCCACCUUUCGGGGCCUCCGUCUUCAGACAAACCCAGCCUGGCUUCAUCCACACUCCCUGUCCCCACAGCUGCAGGAACAGCACUUCCUGCCACCGAGCCAUGUGACCACAGUGGAUUGUCUCUGGAGGGGCCCAAGGGGGCCCUGGCCACCCUUCUGACUGACUCGGUGCCAGAGGACAGACCAACGUCCCUCUCGUGCUGACAGCCGGGCCGCACCCUGGCAUGAGGGCAUUUACAGAAAUGCUGGCGGAACUGCUGCCAGGGAGGCUGUAGGGUCCUCUGGCAAAAGAGGCCUCAGGUGGCUCCUCAGAGUGUCUGGUUCUCUGUCCCAGGCUGUUCCCUAAGAAGGUCUGCCCAGGACUCAGGUCAUGACCCCCAGGAGACCUGGAGGACUGAAUGCUGCUGUCCCCAAGGAGGAGGCUGCCGUCUUAUCCCAGGAGGGAGAGCAGGUGAAGUCCCCAGGGGAGGAAGCACCUAGCCCCAUUCCUGCUGAGCAGGAGGUGGCAGGUACCCCAGACUGGGAGGUAAGGACAGCCCAGGGCUUCAACUGAACGUCUCCGGCAUGGGUCCGACUGAGCAGCCAUGGAGCACUGCAGAGUGGGAGGCAGCAGGGCAGGGAGGCAGUGCUGGAGGCUGGCUCAACCCCAAGACCAGCAGGCCAAGCUGCCAUCCCAGGGGAGCGAGGACGUCUGUGCAGAGCUGAGAGGCAGCAGCCAUAUGUGAACAGACUGGGCCUCAUCCUGGCCCCACCGACUUUGUGUGGACAGAGCCUGUUUCCCUGUCUGUGCAACACAGAACCUGCCUGAUCUCACUGCUGGAUCCCUCUUCUUCCUGCCAGGAAAAUAAAAAGGUUCAAAAAGAAGUUGCUGCGUAUCCAUCUGAGGCCUCUGAGGACAGCAAAGAGCAAAGGCCCUGGGACCGGGUCUCCGUGCCCAUGACAGAGCUCUGGCUGGACUGGUUCUGAGCCUCUAACACCCCCAAGACUCAGAACCGUGAAGAAAAUCUUUCCAAUAAAUCCAAGAGUUGCUGCUGCUAUAGGCCAGGCUGCCACCUUUCGGGGCCUCCGUCUUCAGACAAACCCAGCCUGGCUUCAUCCACACUCCCUGUCCCCACAGCUGCAGGAACAGCACUUCCUGCCACGGAGCCGUGUGACCACAGUGGAUUGUCUCUGGAGGGGCCCAAGGGGGCCCUGGCCACCCUUCUGAUUGACUCGGUGCCAGGGGACAGACCAACGUCCCUCUCGUGCUGACAGCCGGGCCGCACCCUGGCAUGAGGGCAUUUACAGAAAUGUUGGCGGAACUGCUGCCAGGGAGGCUGUAGGGUCCUCUGGCAAAAGAGGCCUCAGGUGGCUCCUCAGAGUGUCUGGUUCUCUGUCCCAGGCUGUUCCCUAAGAAGGUCUGCCCAGGACUCAGGUAAUCAUAUGCUCAUUAGAAACUCUUGGGCACUGCCUGUGUGCCCAGCCCAGCCCCUUAUGUCGGUGAGGACAGACGUGGAGGACAGCAGUCCCUGCCCUUGGUUGGGGCUCCAGGCCAGCAAGGGCCACAGCCCCAGAAGGCAGAGCAGGAAGACAGGACUCGGGGCAGGUGAAGCAGCCUUCUCGUUGGCAGAAGGGAAACAGAAGCCCAGGGUGGGGAAGGGUGGGCCCGGGGUCACAGGGGGUAAUGGCGGGCCCGGGGUCACACGGGGUAAUGGCAGAGCCAGGACUAGGGUCAGGGUCUCUGGCUCUCAGCUGCCCAUGCCACCUCCUCCUCCUCUGCCCGCCCCAGUGCCUCAUGGGCCCAAGGUUGACUCCCAUCCCUAGGGCAGGCCAGUGGCCCACAGGGCUCAUACAUGGCCCCUGGCCAAGCCUGUGGGCCCUGCCUGACCCCUACUGGGAGGAUGGUACCUAGGGUUGGAGCCAAACAAGUGUUCUCCUCCAGCGCCAGCCUGGCCCCGAGUGCAAACUCGUCACUGGUCAGGGGUCCGGACAGCAGCAUCCCUGAGGGCCCAGAGAGGUGGCCAGUCCUGUGGUGAGGUUGAGAGGGGUCAACGUGCUGGCGGUCCUUGCUUGCUCUCAGCGCCUCCUCGGCCUCAGCAUCUGCUCUGACCACACUUGAGGAGCCCUUCAGCCCAGCGCUGCACUGUAGGAGCCCCUCUCUGGGCUGGUGGAGGCUGGAGCCGGCUCCCUCUGCUUGUGGGGAGGUAUGGAGGGAGAGGCGUGGGCGGGAACCUGGGUUGCUCGCGGGCCAGCACCAGUUCUGGGUGGCCAGGGGCUCAGCGGGCCCUGCACUCACAGCGGCCGGCUGGUGCCUCCGGCCCCAGGCAGUGAGGGGCUUAGCACCUGGGCCAGCAGCUGCAGAGGGGGCGCCGGGUCCCCCAGUACUGCUGGCCGCCGGCACGCACCACACUUGAAUUGUCGCCAGGCCUCAGUUGCCUCCCCGCGGGGCAGGGCUCAGGACCUGCAGCCUGCCAUGCCCAAGCCUCCCUACGGUGGGCUCCCUGCAAGGCCCGAGCCUCCCGGAUGGGUGCCUCCCACUGCUCCACGGCACCUGGUCCCGUCCACUGCCCAAGGGCUGAGGAGUACAGGUGCCCAGUGUGGGACUGGCAGGCAGCUCUGCCUGUGGCCCUGGCAUAGGAUCCACUAGGCGAAGCUGGCUGGGCUCCUGAAUCAGGUGGGGACUUGGAGAACUUUUAUGUCUAGCCAGAGGAUUGUAUAUGCACCAAUCAGCACUCUGUGUGUAGCUCCGGGUUCGUGGAUGCACCAGUUAGCACUCUGUAUCUAGCUAAUCUGGUGGGGACUUGGGGAACCUUUAUUUCUAGCUAAAAGAUUGUAAAUACACCAAUCAGCACUCUGUGUCUAGCUCAAGGUUUGUAAACACACCAAUCAGCACCCUGUGUCUAACUCAAGGUUUGUAAACGCACCAAUCAGUGCUCUCUGUCUACUCUAUCUAGCUAAUCUAGUGGGGACUUGGACAACCUUUAUGUCUAGCUAAGGGAUUGUAAAUACACCAUUCAGCACUCUGUGUCUAGCUCAAGGUUUGUAAAUAUACCAAUCAGCACUCUGUGUCUAGCUCAGGGAUUGUAAAUGCACCAAUCAGCACCCUGUCAAAAUGGACCAAUCAACUCUCUGUAAGUGGACCAAUCCACUGUCUGUAAAAUGGGCCAAUCAGCAGGAUGUGGGUGGAGGGUCAGAUAAGGGAAUAAAAGCAGGCUGCCUGAAGUAGCAGCGGCAACCUGGUUGCCAUCCUUCUUUUGCUGUUUGCAGUAAGUCUUGCUGCUGCUCCCUCAUUGGGUCCACACUGCCUUUAUGAGUUGUAACACUGGAAGGACUGCAGUUUCACUCCUGAGGCCAGUGAGACCACAAACCCACCAGGAAGAAUGAACAACUCCGUACGUGCCGCCUUAAGAGCCGUAACACUCACUGUGAAGGUCUGCAGCUUCACUCCUGAAGCCAGCAAGACCAUGCACCCACCAGAAGGAAGAAACUCUGAACACGUCUUAACAUCAGAAGGAACAAACUCUGAACACACCAUCUUUAAGAACUGUAACACUCACUGCGAGGGUCCACGGCUUCAUUCUUG